RNAcentral lists this ribosomal RNA (341 nucleotides) under uncultured Bacteroides sp. RNAcentral's name for it is "bacterial SSU rRNA". It matches the Rfam family "Bacterial small subunit ribosomal RNA", at positions 8 to 339 of the family's 1533-position model. Lineage: Bacteria; Pseudomonadati; Bacteroidota; Bacteroidia; Bacteroidales; Bacteroidaceae. The record is from RNAcentral.
AGAGUUUUGAUCAUGGCUCAGGAUGAACGCUAGCUACAGGCUUAACACAUGCAAGUCGAGGGGCAGCGAGGAGUUAGCUUGCUAACUCUGUCGGCGACCGGCGCACGGGUGAGUAACGAGUAUCCAACCUGCCCCGUGCUCCGGGACAGCCCCGCGAAAGCGGGAUUAAUACCGGAUGGUGCGUAUGUCCCGCAUGGGACAUACGUCAAAGAUUCAUCGGCACGGGAUGGGGAUGCGUCCGAUUAGCUGGUUGGCGGGGUAACGGCCCACCAAGGCGAUGAUCGGUAGGGGUUCUGAGAGGAAGGUCCCCCACAUUGGAACUGAGACACGGUCCAAACUCC